CCUACGGGAGGCAGCAGUGGGGGAUAUUGCACAAUGGGGGAAACCCUGAUGCAGCGACGCCGCGUGGGUGAAGAAGCGCCUCGGCGCGUAAAGCCCUGUCAGCAGGGAAGAAAAUGACGGUACCUGAAGAAGAAGCCCCGGCUAACUACGUGCCAGCAGCCGCGGUAAUACGUAGGGGGAAAGCGUUAUCCGGAUAUACUGGGUGUAAAGGGGGCGCAGACGGCGAUGCAAGCCAGGAGUGAAAGCCCGGGGCCCAACCCCGGGACUGCUCUUGGAACUGCGUGGCUAGAGUGCAGGAGGGGCAGGCGGAAUUCCUGGUGUAGCGGUGAAAUGCGUAGAUAUCAGGAGGAACACCGGUGGCGAAGGCGGCCUGCUGGACUGCAACUGACGUUGAGGCCCGAAAGCGUGGGGAGCAAACAGGAUUAGAUACCCCAGUAGUC
RNAcentral lists this ribosomal RNA (440 nucleotides) under uncultured bacterium. RNAcentral's name for it is "partial 16S ribosomal RNA". It matches the Rfam family "Bacterial small subunit ribosomal RNA", at positions 338 to 795 of the family's 1533-position model. The record is from RNAcentral.